AGAGUUUGAUCCUGGCUCAGAAUCAACGCUGGCGGCGCGCUUAACACAUGCAAGUCGCACGAGAAAGGGAGCAAUCCUAAGUAAAGUGGCGUACGGGUGAGUAACACGUGGAUCAUCUACCUUUUAGUGGGGAAUACCUCCGGGAAACUGGAGACAAUACCGCAUAAGCUCGUGAGAGGAAAGCCGAAAGGCGCUGAAAGAGGAGUCCGCGGCUGAUUAGUUUGUUGGCGGGGUAACGGCCCACCAAGACGAAGAUCGGUAGCCGGCCUGAGAGGGCACACGGCCACACUGGCACUGAAACACGGGCCAGACUCCUACGGGAGGCAGCAGUGGGGAAUCUUGCACAAUGGGGGAAACCCUGAUGCAGCGACGCCGCGUGAGC
Molecule: ribosomal RNA, 382 nt
Filed under: uncultured bacterium
Lineage: Bacteria
Description: bacterial SSU rRNA
Rfam family: Bacterial small subunit ribosomal RNA
Source: RNAcentral